RNAcentral lists this ribosomal RNA (262 nucleotides) under uncultured bacterium. RNAcentral describes it as "partial 16S ribosomal RNA". It matches the Rfam family "Bacterial small subunit ribosomal RNA", at positions 514 to 775 of the family's 1533-position model. The record is from RNAcentral.
GCCGCGGUAAUACGGAGGGAGCUAGCGUUGUUCGGAAUUACUGGGCGUAAAGCGCACGUAGGCGGCUUUGUAAGUUAGAGGUGAAAGCCCGGGGCUCAACCCCGGAACUGCCUUUGAAACUAGGUGACUAGAAUCUUGGAGAGGUCAGUGGAAUUCCGAGUGUAGAGGUGAAAUUCGUAGAUAUUCGGAAGAACACCAGUGGCGAAGGCGACUGACUGGACAAGUAUUGACGCUGAGGUGCGAAAGCGUGGGGAGCAAACAG